Molecule: ribosomal RNA, 497 nt
Filed under: uncultured bacterium
Lineage: Bacteria
Description: partial 16S ribosomal RNA
Rfam family: Bacterial small subunit ribosomal RNA
Source: RNAcentral
GAUGAACGCUGGCGGCGUGCCUAAUACAUGCAAGUCGAGCGAACAGACGAGGCGCUUGCUCCUCUGACGUUAGCGGCGGACGGGUGAGUAACACGUGGAUAACCUACCUAUAAGACUGGGCUAACUUCGGGAAACCGGAGCUAAUACCGGAUACUAUAUUUAACCGCAUGGUUCAAUAGUGCAAGAAGAAUUUUGUGUCACUUAUAGAUGGAUCCGCGCCUCACUAGCUAGUUGGUAAGGUAACGGCUUACAAAGGCAACGAUGCGUAGCCGGCAUGAGAGGGUGAUCGGCCAGACUGGCACUAAGACACGGCCCAGACUCCUACGGGAGGCAGCAGUAGGGAAUAUUCCAGAAUGGUGGAAAGCCUGACGGAGCAACGCCGAGUGAGUGAUGAAGGUCUUCGGAUCGUAAAACUCUGUUAUUAGGGAAGAACAAAAGUGUAAGUAAAUAUGCACGUCUUGACGGUACCUAAUCAGAAAGCCACGGCUAACUACGUG